Molecule: long non-coding RNA, 520 nt
Organism: Erinaceus europaeus (western European hedgehog)
Lineage: Eukaryota; Metazoa; Chordata; Mammalia; Eulipotyphla; Erinaceidae
Exons: 2
Source: RefSeq, a predicted model, not a curated record
GAGUCACCACUAAUAAAAGAAGUCCAUAACCCUGAUACAGGAGAAGGUCCCAAGUGGACACCUUUUGGGUUAUUGGAAAUAGAGAAAAGGUGUGUGAGUGAGAGAACGUAUGAGAGCCUUCUGUGUGCUGGCCAGCACGUGAGUGGAAAAAAGAAGGUAAUCCUAGGUGCGAUUGCAGUGACAAUUGUUGCCUUGUUUGUUUCCAUGUUAUUUCAUUUUGACAGGAAGAUGGGACAGGCCUCAUCAAAACCCUCCUCUCUCUCCCCCUUGGAAUGCUUGGUUAAGAAUUUCUCAGAUUUCUCUCGCAGGGCGGCCGGAUUUGGAGUCCAGGUAGAUGCCUUCACCCUACGAAAAUUCUCCUGGACCCUGGCACUUGUGCAGCAGUGCAGGAUGUAAUUUUCGGUGAACCAGGGCACCCUGAUCAGAUGCCAUACAUUGAAAUCUGGGCUGGUAUCAUUUAUGACAAACCUAAGUAUUUGCUAAAAUGUCAGAAGGGUUCCAAGGAAAAGGGAGAGUCAAA